Molecule: ribosomal RNA, 291 nt
Filed under: uncultured bacterium
Lineage: Bacteria
Description: partial 16S ribosomal RNA
Rfam family: Bacterial small subunit ribosomal RNA
Source: RNAcentral
GUGGAUUAGAUACCCUGGUAGUCCACGCUGUAAACGAUCAAUACUAGGUGUGCGGGGACUGACCCCCUGCGUGCCGCAGUUAACACAAUAAGUAUUGCACCUGGGGAGUACGAUCGCAAGGUUGAAACUCAAAGGAAUUGACGGGGGCCCGCACAAGCGGUGGAUUAUGUGGUUUAAUUCGAAGCAACGCGAAGAACCUUACCAGGGCUUGACAUCCUACUAACGAAGUAGAGAUACAUUAGGUGCCCUUCGGGGAAAGUAGAGACAGGUGGUGCACGGCCGUCGCCAACU